AGGACAGGAUGAAUGUAUGAGAAUCAUCUUCUUACUGAGAAUGGUAGGACAGAAGGGAUAGUUUAGCCACUAUACUUCCUGGAAGAAUCAGUACUUGAGGGUUGCUGCAGCUUUUUGGGAUUGAAGGAGUAUGUUCAUUUCCUUUGGAAGAUUAAUUUUUUCCUUUUUUUUGACAUGGAGUCUCUCUCUGUCGCCCAGGUGGAGGUUGCAGUGAGCUGAGAUUGUGCCACUACUCCAGCCUGGGUGACAGAGCAAGACUCCAUCUCAAAAAAAAAAAAAAA
Homo sapiens (human) is the source of this 281-nucleotide long non-coding RNA. Lineage: Eukaryota; Metazoa; Chordata; Mammalia; Primates; Hominidae. The record is from Ensembl.